GAUGAACGCUGGCGGCGUGCCUAAUACAUGCAAGUCGAGCGAACAGAUCUAGCUCUUUCUCCUCUUUCGUUACCGACGGAUGGGUGAUUAAUACGUGGCCAACCUAUCUCUAAGACUUGGAUAACUUCGGGUAACCGUAGUUACUACCGCGUCAUAUCUCGACCUGCAUGGUUCAAUAAUGACAGACGGUUUUGCUUUUACUUAUAGUUGCAUCCUAGCCGCAUUAGCUAGUUGUUAAGGUAACGGCUUACCAAGGCAACUAUGCGUAGCCGACGUGUGAGGGUGAUCGGCCACACUGGAACUGAGACACGGUCCAGACGCCUACGGGAGGCAGCAGUAGGGAAUCUUACGCAAUGGGCGAGAGCCUGACGGAGCAAGGGCGAGUGAGUGAUGAAGAUCUUCGGAGAGUAAAACUCGGUUAUUAGGGAAGAACAAAUGUGAAAAGAAAUAUGCACGACUUGACGGUACCUAAUCAGAAAGCCACGGCUAACUACGUG
This 497-nucleotide ribosomal RNA is filed under the name uncultured bacterium. RNAcentral describes it as "partial 16S ribosomal RNA". It matches the Rfam family "Bacterial small subunit ribosomal RNA", at positions 28 to 507 of the family's 1533-position model. The record is from RNAcentral.